UCGAGGAUCUUCGGCAAUGGACGCAAGUCUGACCGAGCGACGCCGCGUGCGGGAUGAAGGCCUUCGGGUUGUAAACCGCUGUCAGUUGGGAGGAAAUCACAUGGGGUUCUCUCCAUGUGUUGACCUAUCUUCAGAGGAAGGACGGGCUAAGUUCGUGCCAGCAGCCGCGGUAAGACGAACCGUCCUAACGUUAUUCGGAAUUACUGGGCUUAAAGGGUGCGUAGGCGGCCCUGUAAGUUGGGUGUGAAAUCCCUCGGCUCAACCGAGGAAUUGCGCCCAAUACUGCAGGGCUAGAGGAAGAUAGAGGUGAGCGGAACUUGUGGUGGAGCGGUGAAAUGCGUUGAUAUCACAAGGAACACCUGUGGCGAAAGCGGCUCACUGGGUCUUUUCUGACGCUGAGGCGCGAAAGCUGGGGGAGCGAACG
This 424-nucleotide ribosomal RNA is filed under the name uncultured prokaryote. Its description in RNAcentral is "bacterial SSU rRNA". It matches the Rfam family "Bacterial small subunit ribosomal RNA", at positions 355 to 774 of the family's 1533-position model. The record is from RNAcentral.